UUCUCGUCCAAGUCUGUGAGCUGACACGUUACCUGGCAACCUGCAUCUCUCUGGAGCACCACUCACUCUCCAGGUCUGGACGACUGUCUGCAGCAGUACGUGUGCGUGUUUGAGCGUGGAGGUGUGUGUGGGGAGAGGCUGCUGAGGAUCAGCCACGCCGAGCUGGAGGAACUGGGAGUUUCUCGAAUUGGACACCAGGAGCUCAUCCUGGAGGCUGUCGACUUGCUCUGC
Non-coding RNA from Paralichthys olivaceus (Japanese flounder), 231 nucleotides. Lineage: Eukaryota; Metazoa; Chordata; Actinopteri; Pleuronectiformes; Paralichthyidae. The record is from RefSeq and is a predicted model, not a curated record.